This is a long non-coding RNA of Cucumis sativus (cucumber), 324 nucleotides long. RefSeq lists it as uncharacterized. The transcript has 2 exons. Lineage: Eukaryota; Viridiplantae; Streptophyta; Magnoliopsida; Cucurbitales; Cucurbitaceae. The record is from RefSeq and is a predicted model, not a curated record.
AUCGUCCAUCAGAAGUGUUAACAUAGAUCUCUAUGCCGAUGAGGAUUUGGGCAACACACCUAUGAACGAAGAAGUGAAGGAGGAGAUUGUAGUUUACCUAUUCCAGUGAAGGGCAAGAUAUAGACUUUAAAUCAAGCAUUAGGUAAUAUUGUUGAAUGACCUCGUUGACUUGUUUAUGUGCUAUUGAAGCUUUGAUAUUUAUUUGUGAUUGUAUUUUAGGUUUUGAUAUUAUUUUGUUUGUGCUUGGAGCAUUCAACCCCAAAGGAUGUUCUGUAUUCUUCAAAUUACAUAAAUGUUAAUGGAACCAUUAAGCUCUUAUAUGGA